CGGUUAAGUCCGCUAACGAGCGCAACCCUCGCUGUGUGUUAUAUGUGUCACACGGGACUGCCGGUCUUAAGCCGGAGGAAGGUGGGGAUGAUGUCAAGUCAGCAUGGCCUUUAUAUCCUGGACUACACACACGCUACAAUGGCCAACACAAUAGGUUGCUAAGCCGCGAGGUGGCGCCAAUCCAUAAAGUUGGUCUCAGUUCAGAUUGUAGGCUGCAACCCGCCUGCAUGAAGAUGGAGUUGCUAGUAACCGCAGGUCAGCUAUACUGCGGUGAAUACGUUCCCGGGGCUU
Molecule: ribosomal RNA, 291 nt
Filed under: uncultured Leptolinea sp.
Lineage: Bacteria; Bacillati; Chloroflexota; Anaerolineae; Anaerolineales; Anaerolineaceae
Description: partial 16S ribosomal RNA
Rfam family: Bacterial small subunit ribosomal RNA
Source: RNAcentral